This 243-nucleotide ribosomal RNA is filed under the name uncultured Actinomycetales bacterium. RNAcentral describes it as "partial 16S ribosomal RNA". It matches the Rfam family "Bacterial small subunit ribosomal RNA", at positions 88 to 334 of the family's 1533-position model. Lineage: Bacteria; Bacillati; Actinomycetota; Actinomycetes; Actinomycetales. The record is from RNAcentral.
UACUCGAGUGGCGAACGGGUGAGUAACACGUGGGUGAUCUGCCCUGCACUUCGGGAUAAGCUUGGGAAACUGGGUCUAAUACCGGAUAGGACCGCACUUUAGUGUGUGUGGUGGAAAGUUUUUUCGGUGUAGGAUGAGCUCGCGGCCUAUCAGCUUGUUGGUAGGGUAAUGGCCUACCAAGGCGGCGACGGGUAGCCGGCCUGAGAGGGUGUACGGCCACAUUGGGACUGAGAUACGGCCCAG